UCUCUCCUCCCCGAGCGGCUCACCGGCUUUACGUCGGUUGGUGGCCGCGUCUGGGACCGAACCGGGCACCGCCUUGUGGAAAAAAAAGAAUAGAAUAUACCCUGUUAAAUCAGACAUGAUACUUGCUUUUGUGGAGCUUAUGCUUUAGUGCAGAAACAGAAAGUCAAGCAAAAACUCAAACUAUGUAACUUUAAAUUGGAUAUGUGCUAAUGAAGGAAAAUGUGGCACUGUAAGAAAAAAUAAUAGGGAGUUAAAGGAUAAAUAGGAGUUUGCUGGAUGAAAUUUAUGAAGAGCUGAAGAUUUCAAACAAAAGAAACUGAUGCAGGAGGGUGCAGCUUUGGAGUCAAGAAUGAAGUUCUAGGAGAUAGAGAGCAAAGAAAUGGUGGGAGAGGAGGUCAAAGUAGACGGAAUGAAGUUGAUAAUAGUGAGACCUUGUUGGUACAAGACUAUGUAACAUAACCUGCGCUUCUCAACAAAGAAUUGCUUUUCUGACUUCUGCACUCAAUAGCAAGACAAAUCUCUCCUCUGCCUUCUCCUUAUCAGACUACUCAACAUGAAGGCAAUAAGAAUGAAGACCUCUAUGUAUAAUAAUUGACUUCCACUUAAUAAAUAAGGUUACUUGGUACACUGGUCGACAAAACCUUGAAAUGUUGAUGUUUAAGGGCUGUUGAUUGCUGGCAGCAAAGAAGUCCAACUGUGCUGGUACCCGAGAUAGCGUCUCCACAUUUUCUUCCAGGAUCAUCACCUUUGUUCUAAAUAGCUCCCACAUAGUGUGAACAGAAGUCAUAUGUUUUAGAUUUUCUGCCUUGGCACCCAGGAAACCAGUAUGAUUGAGUAAACAUAUUAAACUUCCUCUGCAUUUCCAGCCUGAACAGAUGUUGAGUACAAGCUGAUCCACCUACGUUCAACCUGAGAGAGUCCACAUCCACAGACUGUUUCAUUUCCCUUUUUCAAUUUACAUAGAAGCAUAGAUUCUUGCUGGCAUAUACAAAUGCGCCAUUUAAGGCAAUCAAAAAUGGUUCCACAUCUCAUCUGAUUUCCACAAUUGUUGCUGUAACGAUGGACUACUGAGGAGAGAGACAAUUUCUCUGGCACAUCUUCCCACAUUUUAGCAACAUGUUCAUGGAGAGCCAAUAUUCAGUAAUUACAGCCCAAUUCCUCACAAUUUCACAAUUCGCUAACAAUAUGCAUUUUCACAAUGUAAAGCUGAUUUUCCUUUAACCAAAUCAAACAUGAAAAGAUAGCUGCAUGCAAUGGGCAAUCUAGAUCAUUAGAAGAUUGAUGUAAAAUUAGAGGACACUGAGACUGGAAUAGAUUGCAAACUUCAGGGAGCUCAGAAAACUUGUAAACUCUACAUUUUGAGGAAAUAUGUUGUCGAUGCUUUUGCAACUCUAUGCAGUAACUUAACAAAUAAAGCCUUAAAGUAACU
Homo sapiens (human) is the source of this 1429-nucleotide long non-coding RNA. Ensembl annotates it as MIR663A host gene. Its record names the gene MIR663AHG. Lineage: Eukaryota; Metazoa; Chordata; Mammalia; Primates; Hominidae. The record is from Ensembl.